AGUGAACGCUGGCGGUAGGCCUAACACAUGCAAGUCGAACGGCAGCACAGUAAGAGCUUGCUCUUACGGGUGGCGAGUGGCGGACGGGUGAGGAAUACAUCGGAAUCUACUUUUUCGUGGGGGAUAACGUAGGGAAACUUACGCUAAUACCGCAUACGACCUACGGGUGAAAGCAGGGGAUCUUCGGACCUUGCGCGAUUGAAUGAGCCGAUGUCGGAUUAGCUAGUUGGCGGGGUAAAGGCCCACCAAGGCGACGAUCCGUAGCUGGUCUGAGAGGAUGAUCAGCCACACUGGAAAUGAGACACGGUCCAGACUCCUACGGGAGGCAGCAGUGGGGAAUAUUGGACAAUGGGCGCAAGCCUGAUCCAGCCAUACCGCGUGGGUGAAGAAGGCCUUCGGGUUGUAAAGCCUUUUUGUUGGGAAAGAAAAGCAGCAGGUUAAUACCCCGCUGUUCUGACGGUACCAAAAGAAUAAGCACCGGCUAACUUCGUG
RNAcentral lists this ribosomal RNA (492 nucleotides) under uncultured bacterium. RNAcentral's name for it is "partial 16S ribosomal RNA". It matches the Rfam family "Bacterial small subunit ribosomal RNA", at positions 29 to 507 of the family's 1533-position model. The record is from RNAcentral.